UCUCCACCAUUUUCAGAUCCAU
This 22-nucleotide non-coding RNA is filed under the name Arabidopsis thaliana (thale cress). Lineage: Eukaryota; Viridiplantae; Streptophyta; Magnoliopsida; Brassicales; Brassicaceae. The record is from RNAcentral.